RNAcentral lists this ribosomal RNA (255 nucleotides) under uncultured bacterium. RNAcentral's name for it is "partial 16S ribosomal RNA". It matches the Rfam family "Bacterial small subunit ribosomal RNA", at positions 524 to 776 of the family's 1533-position model. The record is from RNAcentral.
UACGUAGGGGGGCAAGCGUUUGUCCGGAAUCAUUGGGCGUAAAGCGCGUGUAGGCGGCUCGAUAAGUCUGCUGUGAAAGUUCAGGGCUCAACCCUGAAAUGCCGGUGGAAACUGUCGGGCUAGAGUCCGGAAGAGGCGAGUGGAAUUCCUGGUGUAGCGGUGAAAUGCGCAGAUAUCAGGAGGAACACCAAUGGCGAAGGCAGCUCGCUGGGACGGUACUGACGCUGAGACGCGAAAGCGUGGGGAGCAAACAGG